GUUGGGCCCAGUGGUCUGGCAAUUCCCGCCUCCGUGUUUGCGACACCCUGGCCGCUGUAAAGUUCGGAGAUUUGAAUUGAGCGGCACUGACGGAUGCUCAGAGAAGAACCUGGCAAACCUUAAAAGCGUUUCCUCUCCGUUGGUCUACAAACCUGAAGAAUGAGACUUCGAGUUUCCAAGGAAACGGAUGCACGGGUUAAACUACCGGUUUCAAAAAGUCAAACGGAGAAGACUCUUUUCCUUUAAAUUCUGCGGUUUACUCCAGUCGUUCACUCCUCAGGCGUUCGCCUUCCGGAGCCGCCAAGUACCUCGGGUCUCCUUGCUGUGGAGGCUUCCAUCGCGUCUCGCUGCCUGACCUCGCGCUGGGAUUGGUUGCUUGGUUUCUGCUCUGGCGGUUAGGAAUCUAAGUAAACAAGAAAGCAUGAUGUCUUCAGUGGUCUGAAUAUGCAAUUGGUGGGGUGAAGAUUAACUUUACUUGUAAAGCUUAUCCAUCACAGCUUGCUAUGAUGAAUUCUUAGAUUGUCAGAGGAUUAAAUAGUAAGCAACAUUGUUUGUUGAAGAGCCCUACAGGAAGUGGGAAAAGCUUAGACUUGCUUUGUUCUGCUUUAGCAUGGCAACAAUCUCUUCAUGGGAAGCCAGUGGAUGAAAGAUUCAGUAAAAAACCUAAAGUACCAUUGUUAUGUUGUUGUACAGCUGUUCAAAGAAUUUUACAAACAAUGACAUGAGCCAAGGAACUUCACAUUAUUUCAACAGUCCAAGUACACCACCUUCUGAAAUGUCACUUCAUCAACUUGUCAAGGCCACCCAUAAGGACAAGUGUGAUGGAUGUCUCUCCUGUUUACUUUUUUAUAACAAGCAUCUGGCACAGGACCUGCACCUAGUAGGUACUCAUAUAUUUGUUGCAUAAAUUAAUGAAAAAAUGGCCAAAGUUAAGGAAGUGGAUGAUUUACCACUAUUUCUUAUGGCUUACAACUUUUACUCAGAUCCAUAUACUUAAGGAAGUGUGUCAAUGCUGUUAAAUAUAGGAGAU
This is a long non-coding RNA of Diceros bicornis minor, 1030 nucleotides long. RefSeq lists it as uncharacterized. NCBI's taxonomy places the organism in Eukaryota, Metazoa, Chordata, Mammalia, Perissodactyla, Rhinocerotidae. The record is from RefSeq and is a predicted model, not a curated record. The transcript is spliced from 5 exons.